AAUCUCCUACCCCCACCUUCCAUCCUGCAAGGGGGAGCCCGGAGUUGGAACCAAAGAGGGAAGAGAAAAUAAAUCUCAUGGCAACUGUUGGCUGAAUUUUGCUUGGGCAGGCGAUUCUUUACCGUCUGACCCACCAAAGAAGCCCAGAAAUGGCUAUAGAUGUGGCCAUCUUCUGCCUGCCCCAAGACCGCCAACCCACUGUCAUGAACCACAGGUUUGUCCAUCUAUAACCUGAGUAGAUGCAGAGCGGACAUUCAAUACAUCCCUGCCCUGGCGGGUGAGGGGAGGUAUAAACAACUUCCUCGAGGCUGGGCAGUGAGUCAGGCUCCUAAGAGUCCCGACUCCA
Bubalus bubalis (water buffalo) is the source of this 346-nucleotide long non-coding RNA. RefSeq lists it as uncharacterized. NCBI's taxonomy places the organism in Eukaryota, Metazoa, Chordata, Mammalia, Artiodactyla, Bovidae. The record is from RefSeq and is a predicted model, not a curated record. The transcript is spliced from 3 exons.